UAUAGUUUGAUCCUGGCUCAGGAUGAACGCUGGCGGCGUGCUUAACACAUGCAAGUCGAACGGUGAACACGGAGCUUGCUCUGUGGGAUCAGUGGCGAACGGGUGAGUAACACGUGAGCAACCUGCCCCUGACUCUGGGAUAAGCGCUGGAAACGGCGUCUAAUACUGGAUAUGUGACGUGACCGCAUGGUCUGCGUCUGGAAAGAAUUUCGGUUGGGGAUGGGCUCGCGGCCUAUCAGCUUGUUGGUGAGGUAAUGGCUCACCAAGGCGUCGACGGGUAGCCGGCCUGAGAGGGUGACCGGCCACACUGGGACUGAGACACGGCCCAGACUCCUACGGGAGGCAGCAGUGGGGAAUAUUGCACAAUGGGCGCAAGCCUGAUGCAGCAACGCCGCGUGAGGGAUGACGGCCUUCGGGUUGUAAACCUCUUUUAGCAGGGAAGAAGCGAAAGUGACGGUACCUGCAGAAAAAGCGCCGGCUAACUACGUGCCAGCAGCCGCGGUAAUACGUAGGGCGCAAGCGUUAUCCGGAAUUAUUGGGCGUAAAGAGCUCGUAGGCGGUUUGUCGCGUCUGCUGUGAAAUCCGGAGGCUCAACCUCCGGCCUGCAGUGGGUACGGGCAGACUAGAGUGCGGUAGGGGAGAUUGGAAUUCCUGGUGUAGCGGUGGAAUGCGCAGAUAUCAGGAGGAACACCGAUGGCGAAGGCAGAUCUCUGGGCCGUAACUGACGCUGAGGAGCGAAAGGGUGGGGAGCAAACAGGCUUAGAUACCCUGGUAGUCCACCCCGUAAACGUUGGGAACUAGUUGUGGGGUCCAUUCCACGGAUUCCGUGACGCAGCUAACGCAUUAAGUUCCCCGCCUGGGA
This 862-nucleotide ribosomal RNA is filed under the name Microbacterium sp. YIM KMY13. RNAcentral's name for it is "bacterial SSU rRNA". It matches the Rfam family "Bacterial small subunit ribosomal RNA", at positions 1 to 878 of the family's 1533-position model. Lineage: Bacteria; Bacillati; Actinomycetota; Actinomycetes; Micrococcales; Microbacteriaceae. The record is from RNAcentral.